GCUUAGUGUGUUUAAUAAAUAAAUAAAGUAGCUAUGCUAAUCUGUAUCUAAUAAAACUUAAGCAUGGAUAUGAUGAAUAGUUGCUCUGCCUAAUUUGCAAAUUUGAAGUUCUCUCUCAAGUUUAGAUAUAACUGUUAUAAUUUAAGGCUUGCUCUAGACCUAAACUUGUGGGAUGAAAACUUGAUCUGAAGUCUAAGUUGUUAACGGAUACGAUAUGGGAAGGUUGAGCUGCUGUUCAUCUGUUCCUAGAGAUGCUAGAAUUCUGGAGAAUUUAUCUUUGAAAAAUCUUUAAAUUAACACAUGAUGAGUUCCUGUAUGAUGAGAGUUUAAAUUCCUACCACAGCCAUAUAUACAUGCUUGCUAGACCUUGAGCCACACAUUUACUAUUUACUGCUUAUGAGCAUUGAGUGUGGUCAAGCUGUGUAGACCCUUAGGAGCUUGUCAUGUGGUUAAAUCAAGAUUCACUUGCACGUUCACUCAUACAUGCUACUUCUACUCCGGAAGUACCAUCCACAUAUAUCCACUCAUUUCCAUCUCCAAAACCACCCAAAAGUAUUCUACUCCUAAUCCGGGAGCGAAUAACCAAAAAUAUUUUUGUUUCCCCUUGUGAAAUAAAUGCUCAAGUUAUCUUGUUACUACCACUUGCUAUAUUAUCUCAAGAGAUGAAUGCUCUGAAAAAAAAAGAGAAAAAGAAAAUAAAAGAUACGAGGAAAUAAAAAGGAGCAAGUGCUCGGAACCUCGAAAGAAAAGAAAAAGAAGAGCAUCUCAUUCUCCUCAUAAAGUUUCAAAAGCAAGGAAGGUAUGUAUCCCCUCAAAGAGCAAAGUAGAAUUAGGCUUCCACCACCAUUGUUAUCACCAUCAUCACCAUACACCAGUCAUUCGCCACACAUGCACAUCUUGAUUUGGCUUAUUGAUUUGUUUCUUUGGAUCCAUGGUUUGACUAUGCAAUAAAUGUCUUGUAAGUAUGUAUACUUUAUCUCCCACCUAUGAGCUCCAGAUAUUAAAGCCUUAUUAGAGUAGGGUGAGAGAGAAGACAAUGACACUAUGCUUCAUACCACAAAUACUACAUAUCUUGAGAGAAGGCAUAUACCAUCACUGUCUUGGUAAGGAUCCAAAAAUACCACAAAAGAGAGACCUGAGAGAAUCAUACAAGGAAUUUCUGAGUUUUAUUUGAAAAUCUGCAAAAACCCCAGAGCUAUAGCCGAUCAAGAAUAAGAGACAUGACACUUGGCUAGACUGUUCUAUCUUUUAACCACUCAAGACAGAAGUGACGGUUACAAGUCCUAUGGUGUAGGUAAAGUAAGUAAGUUUUAAGUCUUAACAGUUUAUUCUAACUCAAAGAUGAGAUCUUGCUUAAAUGCGUGUGUACUUCUAAGAAAUGAAACCACUGCAGAAACUCUUGAGUUCAUCCUUGCUCAGGGACGAGCAAGAGGUAAGCUUGGGGGAGUUUGUUGACGGUCCUUAAGUAUCAAACAUAAUCAUCAAAUAAAUAAAGAAAAGGAUCCAAAUGCAACCAACACCUAGACUUAUUGUUUUAUCUAACAGAAUUCCACGAGUUUUGGUGUUUGUCUAUUUCUGCAGGGGUUUAUUAGGAAAUAAGGAAGAAAGGCCCACAUGUUGGGAUUACAUAGAGAUAUCAACCCACCGCACAAUUUUCUACCAUCUAGAAGACUCCAAAAGCCACGGGAAGGAAGCGGAGCCCGAAAGGGGCCAGGCCCAGGGCGCCCGCCCUGAGGACCUGGGCGCCCGCCCCCCUCUGGACUCCGUUCCGGACUCUCUUCGCACACGACGUUCCACCGACCUAUUGGAUCCAGAAUAACAUAGUACCACCUCGUCUAUCGACCCAAAAACGCAUAGAAGGGGAGGACUAUAUAAGGAGACCCCCUCUGGCCCUGGAGAAGACAAGAAAUUAUCAUAGAGAUUGAGGGGUGCCCUCGAAGGAAAACCUCUUCUCUAAAUAAUAUUUCUUUUUAGGCUUAGCAACCAAUGUAAUGUAGAAAUAGAUCUUCUAGUUUCUACUAGAUUGAGAGAGAUAGAGUGGAGGUGUGGAUCGGAGGAAGGCCGGCCUGUCGGUGUCUACUCCGAGUCGUACCUACGGGAUC
Molecule: long non-coding RNA, 2102 nt
Filed under: Sorghum bicolor (sorghum)
Lineage: Eukaryota; Viridiplantae; Streptophyta; Magnoliopsida; Poales; Poaceae
Description: long non-coding RNA (SBIC_LNC006348)
Source: RNAcentral